RNAcentral lists this long non-coding RNA (243 nucleotides) under Phoenix dactylifera (date palm). RNAcentral's name for it is "long non-coding RNA (PDAC_LNC020445)". Lineage: Eukaryota; Viridiplantae; Streptophyta; Magnoliopsida; Arecales; Arecaceae. The record is from RNAcentral.
AAAGAUUAAGAGGAAGCAUAACUUGUUCUUGAUAGAUUAAAAAGGGUGAUUGCUAUAAAUUUUGAAUAAUUCUUGAUCACUCUCCAUUCUCGAUAUCAUAGAAUUUCAGUUCUAUUCACGUUUGUCAUUAAAAUCUGAAAUUCAACAAAAGAAAAGAAUGAUUAAAGAAGUAUGCAUCUUUUGAGGGGGAGCUUUAGAUAUUCAGUAUCUUAUCCUAAAGUUACUUCAAUUUGAUGUAUACCU